RNAcentral lists this small RNA (78 nucleotides) under bacteria symbiont BFo2 of Frankliniella occidentalis. RNAcentral's name for it is "isrK Hfq binding RNA". It matches the Rfam family "isrK Hfq binding RNA". Lineage: Bacteria; Pseudomonadati; Pseudomonadota; Gammaproteobacteria; Enterobacterales. The record is from Rfam by way of RNAcentral.
GCUGCCGCAAAAUCGGCAGACGGGCGUAGGAACCCGAAUACACCAGCGGCGACACCAGACGCCUUUAGCGUCUUUUUU